GGGUGCAUAGCUCAGCGGGAGAGCGUUCCCUUCACACGGGAGAGGUCCAAGGUUCGAUCCCUUGUGCGCCCA
Molecule: transfer RNA, 72 nt
Filed under: Bradyrhizobium sp.
Lineage: Bacteria; Pseudomonadati; Pseudomonadota; Alphaproteobacteria; Hyphomicrobiales; Nitrobacteraceae
Also listed under: 1 other name
Description: tRNAValCAC
Rfam family: tRNA
About the family: Transfer RNA (tRNA) molecules are approximately 80 nucleotides in length. Their secondary structure includes four short double-helical elements and three loops (D, anti-codon, and T loops).
Source: RNAcentral